RNAcentral lists this long non-coding RNA (3608 nucleotides) under Sus scrofa (pig). RNAcentral describes it as "lncRNA (ENSSSCG00045001489.1)". The record is from RNAcentral. Lineage: Eukaryota; Metazoa; Chordata; Mammalia; Artiodactyla; Suidae.
AGAGAAUGUCAAGAAGUGUGAAUUUUAAUGCAUUACUGAUGACGGUAUAUAUUAGCACAAUGUUUACAAUAGUAAAAGAAAAAGAAAAUUUGGAGUUCCCAUUGUAGGUCAGCAGUAACAAACCUGACUAGUACCCACGAGGACUCAGGUUUGAUCCCUGAUCCUGCUCACUGGGUUAAGGAUCUGAGGUUGCCAUGAGCUGUGGUGCAGUUUACAGACGUGGCUCAGAUCUGGCAUUGCUAUUGCUGUGGCAUAAGCUGGCAGCUGCAGCUCCGAUUUGACCCCUAGCCUGGGAACUUCCAUAUGCCAUGGGUCAGCCCUGAAAAAAAAGAAAGAAAAAGAAAAGUAGUAACGUAACUGUACAUCAGGUAAGAACUUAUUCUUAGAAGGGAAUAGCAGAGUUCCCAUCAUGGCUCAGUGGAAAUGAAUCUGACGAGGAAUCGUGAGGUUGCAAGUUCAAUCGCUGGCCUCACUCAGUGGGUUAAGGAACCAGCGUUGGUAUAGGUGUGGUAUAGUUCGCAAGCACGGCUAGGAUCUGGUGUUGCUGUGGCAUAGGCCCAGCAGCUAUAGCUCUGAUUAGGCCCCUAGCCUGGGAACCUCAAUAUGCCUCAGGUGUGGCCCUGAAAAGCGUGCGCUCACAAACACACACAUACACACACAGAGAAGGGAAUAGCAAACUGCCAUAAUAAGUGUGAACAUGGAUAAAUCUCAGAAACAGAAUACUGAAUGACAAAGACAGCUGCAAAGAAUUUUACAGUAUGCCAUCAUUUAUACAUAUUUUUAAAGCACCCAAAACCCUGUGUAUGUGUGCGCAUAUGCGUGUGUGUAAAGAGAGAAAAACUGAGAAACAGGGGGAAGGUUCAUGGGAACAUACAUAUGUAGAAAUCAAGUAUGAAAAUAAAUAUAUAAAUGAUAAAUAGCAACUUCAAGAUAGUAGUUACUUCUAAAGAGGCAGAAAGAUGGAAGGGCAGAGCUUAGCUGAAGCCAUACAAUUUUAUUACUUUUUAAAAGGACAAAGAGAUUUUCUCAAAAAAACAUACACAUAUGUAAGUACAGGAUAAAGAGUAUGAUAAUAUCCAAAGAAGCAAAGAGCUAUGAAAACAGAAAAGAAAGAGAUUCAUGAGCCAAGGAAGCUCCAGGAAGAUGUUAUGGAUGGAGUAGCUGAGAGCUGGGGCUUGAAGGGUGGAGAGGAUUGUACAGACUGAGAUAAGAUGUGGGAGAGCAUGAACAAAGGCAUAGUGUGAACAGGGAGGAGACUGAAGAAACCCUGGUCACCCCAUGAAGCUGAAGUGAAUGAACAGGUGUGGAGGGGUGACAGGACACCUCCAGUAAAUGAGGGGCGUGUAUGUACUCUUGCAGGAAAGCUCUCCAUAGGCUUUAAAAGAAACCUGAAGACUAAGCCCUGCCUUUUCAUGGCCCCACUUGCAUAUAUUAUAGUAUCUUGCAUAUACUCCAGUAAAUGAGGGGCAUGUAUGUACUCUUGCAGGAAAGCUCUCCAUUGGCUUUAAGAGAAACCUGAAGACUAAGCCCUGCCUUUUCAUGGCCCCACUUGCAUAUAUUAUAGUAUCUUGCAUAUACCAAACACUCGGCCAAUAAAAAGAAUGAAAGUGAUGUCAUCUAAGGGGCAAGAAGGGCCUAGAACUCCUAGAGUUUUGCAAGAGAGGAAGGACCAGCUUAUUGCCUCCAACUUGCCUCUUUUUCAAAGGACUUAUAGGAAGCAACUUAAGAUAUAGCAUAAAGUUCUGAAAAGUCCAUAUGUGUAAGGUUAAGUGUUAGGGUUUCUUUCUAGUACUGCCAUUAUCUUAAAAACACAGCAAAGAAACAAAAUUAUUUGUAACUAUCUGACACCUAAUAGAACUCGAAAUAGGAUAGUUAACCAAAUCAUCUAUUUAAAUUGUGAGGCCACAACUUGGUCACAGUUUUAUUUGUUGAGCGACAGAGUGCAAAUUUAGACAUUUUCAAGAUGGAAACUAAAAACAGAGGGCUACAGCGCCACCUUGCAGUGAGACCCAGCAUUGCGCUGAGAUGGCCCCACCCAAGGCUAUUCAGUGGCUAUACCUUAUCUGGGUGUGGAGUCACUGGAUAGGGGUGGGGGUCAGCAGAAGCUAGGAACUAGAGUAAACAGUGGGCAUGACCAAGAAUCAGGAGACCCUGUUCUGGUGUACCUUUGAAGUCCUGGAGGCCUCCCUUCUUCCUAACAUACUUCAGGUUAAGAUCAGGACAACCAAGAUCAGAAAGCCUGAAAGUGAAUGAAAUGGGGGAAGGAAGGAGGAAUGGUAUAAUACCACUGAUGUUCCCAGGUGGUGAAGUUGAUUAUCUAUGAGCCUCAGACCUUCUUGUAUUUGCAUUGAUUUUUUCUUAUUUGUUUGUGUAUCAAUUGUAGUUUUUCGGUUUGCAGUUAUUCUGAAGUUUUCAUAUAAGAGUCCAUAUAUAUAUGACAUUGUUUUAAGCGGUUGGUCUCUUAAUUGCGAGUGUAUCUCCAGUGUCCUGCAUUUGUAUCCACCUCUUCUCAUGAUUUCUGAUUUUGGUGUGCAUGGAUGAUUUCAUAUCUUUACUGUAUAUAUACAUUUACUGGUGAGCCUUGUCAUUUGUGGAAUUUUUGUUUCCUGCUGCUGCCUUUUCUUUUCUGCCUAGAGAAGUUCCUUUAGUAUUUGUUGUAAAGCUGGUUUAGUGGUGCUGAAUUCUCUUAGCUUUUGCUUAUCUGUAAAGCUUUUGAUUUCUCCUUCAAAUCUGAAUGUGAGCCUUGCUGGGUAAAGUAAUCUUGGUUGGAGGUUUUUUACUUUCAUCACAUUAAGUAUAUCAUGCCACUCCCUUCUAGCCUGCAGGGUUUCUGCUGAAAAAUCUUCCGAUAACCUUAUUGGGGAUCCCUUAUAUGUUACUUGUUUCUUUUCCGUAGCUGCUUUCAAGAUUUUCUCUUUGUCUUUAAUUUUGGUUAGUUUGAUUAAUAUGUGUCUCAGGGUGUUCCUCCUUGGGUUUAUUUUAUAUGGUACUCAUUGUGCUUCCUGAAUUUGAGUGAGUGGUUCCUUUCCCAUGUUAGGGAAUUUUUCAGCUAUUAUCUCUUGGAAUAUUUUUUUCUGUCCCCUUCUCUCUUGUCCUUCUGACACCCCUAUAAUACAGAUGUUGGUGCAUUUAACAUUGUCCCAGGGUUCUCUGAGACUCUCUUCAUUUGUUUUCAAUCUUUUUUCUCUUUACUGUUCCACAUACAUAAUUUCCACUUAUCUGUCCUCCACUUCGCUUAUUUGUUCUGCCUCCUGUAUUCUGCUGUUAGCUGCUUCUAGUGAGUUUUUUAUUUCAGUUACUGUAUUUUGCAUCUCUUGCUUAAGUUUUAUAUCUUGUAUUCCUUUGCUCAGUGUUUCCUGUAAGUUAUCCAUCUUUGCCUCCAGUUUAUUCCCAAUGACUUGCAUCAUCUUCAGCAUCAAUAGUCUAAAGUCUUUUUCCUGGAGGCUGAGAAUCUCCUGAUCACUUAGCUGAUUUUCUGGGGUUUUUUCUUUCUCCCUCAUCUGUGUUAUAGUCCUCUGUCUUUAUAGGUUUUUAGUGUGGUGACCUUUUUACAGAUGGUAGAGUUGUAGCCUCUCUUACUUCUGCUGUCUGCCCCCCUUGUGGCUGAA